GACGAACGCUGGCGGCACGCCUAACACAUGCAAGUCGAACGGAGAAUAUUGGAUUUAUUCAUUAUUCUUAGUGGCGGACGGGUGAGUAACACGUGAGCAACCUGCCUCUAAGAGAGGGAUAGCUUCUGGAAACGGAUGGUAAUACCUCAUAACAUAAUCAUACCGCAUGGUGAGAUUAUCAAAGAUUUAUUACUUAGAGAUGGGCUCGCGUCUGAUUAGCUAGAUGGUGAGGUAACGGCCCACCAUGGCGACGAUCAGUAGCCGGACUGAGAGGUUGAACGGCCACAUUGGGACUGAGACACGGCCCAGACUCCUACGGGAGGCAGCAGUGGGGAAUAUUGCACAAUGGGGGGAACCCUGAUGCAGCGAUGCCGCGUGGAGGAAGAAGGUUUUCGGAUUGUAAACUCCUGUCUUAAGGGACGAUAAUGACGG
Molecule: ribosomal RNA, 432 nt
Filed under: uncultured bacterium
Lineage: Bacteria
Description: bacterial SSU rRNA
Rfam family: Bacterial small subunit ribosomal RNA
Source: RNAcentral